UAGUUCGUCAAAACCCUGAAAGUUGGAAGAUGAGUGAGAGCGAAAUGAGAAAAACUGAUCAGUGUUGAUAAAAACUGGAUAAUAACAUUACGGUGCUACCUUUGCCUUGAUGACCAAUCAUGAAGCAGCUGCCGAGAAUACUUUGACGCUUUAAGACCUAUUAUCUCAAAAAAUCAGCACCAAGUUGACUCUAAUGUAUCUUUAAACUAACUGCUGAUUGUGAUUGAGGUAUAGAGAAUCAAUUCACAGCUUGGUAUUAGCACCCUUGAAAAAAAUUGAAAAUAAACAUGAAAAACACAAGAUGAACGUCGUAUAGGAAAGUAGUGCUCUUGGAGGAAGCAAACAGAUUCAUGCAAUCUACGAAGACUUUUCUAAAGCAUUUGAUAGGGUCAACCGUGCUAGACUUCUGACUAAUUAUAAAUUUUGGAACAAUGGGGUCAGGUUUGUCCAUCCGAUGAGCGUACCAUGGAUAAUGUCUCUCCUGAAUAUAGCAAUUGCAUGUAGGAUGUGGGAUUCUGGAUUAAUGGUAAACUUUUGUUCACCCCUCAUAUUGAAAGAGUGGUGUUGAAGGGCCAGUUACACCUUAAACUUCGUAAUGAGAUUCACAAGAGAUUUACAAAUACAUCCUGUAUAUUAUUACUUCGUAAGACUUUAGUCUUAGUCUUUCCUAUUUUAUUGUACGGGUCGCAAAUCGAGGGUCCUUAUAUUCGAAUAUCAUGCAAUCAGAUAAAUUUUGUCCAGUGGUGAUUGCUACGGUAUCUGACGUUUAAGGCCGAUCAAGUCAUGACUUAUUAUUACUACAGCUACGGUCACAUUGCUAGGCUAUAUAAAAUCCAGAUGGUCAGGUCACUUCACGAAAGCAAUGAUAUAGCUUAGUGCACAAUAUUCUCCAUGGUGAUGUAACAUGUGAGAAUGUGAAGACCAUUUUUAUGCCUAGGGACCCCAACUAUAAUUUGAGAUAUCCAUCCUACGUUGUUGAACAUUAUCAUAAAACUAAUAUGUUUUAUUUUCUGCCCUUGACAAGGCUGAGGCAUUCAUGGUUAUAUUUUUCAGAUUAUUCAUAGUUUCUUAUUUACUAUUAUCUCUUGGUAGGCGUGAAUACCUUUUAUAAAAUUUAUCCAUUCUUAUAAUGUUCACCCUAGAUGUUAAUCUUGAACACAAAUCUUUUCGAAGUAAAUUGUAACAAGGCAAUUAAUGCUCGUGUAUACUAAUAAUGAAUCAGAGUGGCCACCCAUUUGAAAUAUCGAGAAAUGUCAAGGAAUUUAGUACGUCAUAGAAAACUCAAGGAAAUGUCGGGGAAUUUUGAUAAAAUGCACGGAUUUUAAAAGCCUUGACCAUUAAAUUGAGAUUCUAUGACCAUGCGCACCGUCACAAUUUUGCUCCUCUUCUUCUUGACGAUUAUGAACUGAGUUGUUGAUUGUCACAUGAAUUCAGUAGUACGAGCAAACAGCGGUUACAGUGAUGUGUGAUUAUUCAAUAGUGUGUCAUGUUUUUAAUUUGUCAAUUUUAUACGU
Molecule: long non-coding RNA, 1514 nt
Filed under: Neodiprion pinetum (white pine sawfly)
Lineage: Eukaryota; Metazoa; Arthropoda; Insecta; Hymenoptera; Diprionidae
Description: uncharacterized LOC124210997
Source: RNAcentral